GAUGAACGCUAGCUACAGGCUUAACACAUGCAAGUCGAGGGGUAACGAGAGGAAAGCUUGCUUUCCUUGUCGACGACCGGCGCACGGGUGAGUAACGCGUAUCCAACCUGCCCCCAACUAAGGAAUAACCUUGCGAAAGUAAGACUAAUACCUUAUAAUUUCCUCAGAUGUCAUCUGACGAGGAAUAAAGGUUUAUCGGUUGUGGAUGGGGAUGCGUCUGAUUAGCUUGUUGGCGGGGUAACGGCCCACCAAGGCAACGAUCAGUAGGGGUUCUGAGAGGAAGGUCCCCCACAUUGGAACUGAGACACGGUCCAAACUCCUACGGGAGGCAGCAGUGAGGAGUAUUGGUCAAUGGGCGAAAGCCUGAACCAGCCAAGUAGCAUGCAGGAUGACGGCCCUAUGGGUUGUAAACUGCUUUUAUACAGGAAUAAAGUUAGCCACGUGUGGUUAUUUGUAGGUACUGUAUGAAUAAGGACCGGCUAAUUCCGUGCCAGCCGCCGCCGUAA
RNAcentral lists this ribosomal RNA (506 nucleotides) under uncultured bacterium. RNAcentral's name for it is "partial 16S ribosomal RNA". It matches the Rfam family "Bacterial small subunit ribosomal RNA", at positions 28 to 523 of the family's 1533-position model. The record is from RNAcentral.